UACGAAGGGGGCUAGCGUUGUUCGGAAUUACUGGGCGUAAAGCGCACGUAGGCGGAUUGAUAAGUUAGAGGUGAAAUCCCGGGGCUCAACCUCGGAACUGCCUUUGAUACUGUUAGUCUCGAGUCCGAUAGAGGUGAGUGGAAUUCCUAGUGUAGAGGUGAAAUUCGUAGAUAUUGGGAAGAACACCAGUGGCGGAGGCGGCUCACUGGAUCGGUACUGACGCUGAGGUGCGAAAGCGUGGGGAGCAAACAGG
Molecule: ribosomal RNA, 253 nt
Filed under: uncultured bacterium
Lineage: Bacteria
Description: partial 16S ribosomal RNA
Rfam family: Bacterial small subunit ribosomal RNA
Source: RNAcentral